Molecule: long non-coding RNA, 566 nt
Organism: Empidonax traillii (willow flycatcher)
Lineage: Eukaryota; Metazoa; Chordata; Aves; Passeriformes; Tyrannidae
Exons: 3
Source: RefSeq, a predicted model, not a curated record
GCCCUGUGGCCCCUCUCAGAGCAUCGUUGUCUGCUGAAGAGAACUUCUGCUGACGUUCAGAUCCUCCCCCCUCUGAGGGGUUUGCCUGUGCCUUCCUGGGACUGAGAUCCAGAAAUAAGACAUUUCUCCAGAGGGAGCCCGUGCAGCUGAAGCUCAGCAGCAUUUGAUCAGCUGUCUCAGUCUGCUUGGUCCCUGAAAGCACCAUUUCAUGAAACUGCAUCCCUGAGGGAAGAAGAGAGACUUUGGCCUCCAGUGCAGCUUUUGGAGUUUAUAUCCUGUUGAUGGUAUUUCUAAGAGCAACAUGGCAUCAAAGAUGAAGACUUAGAUUACUUGUUCUAUUUUUCUUUCCUACAUGAAGUUAUCUUCCAGAUAAAGCUCCGUUCUUCAGCUUGAAGAAGACCUCUAUGUUUCUUGAACAUUUCAAAUUUAAUUCACAGUAGAGAUAUAUAUUUUAUGGGGCUUAAUAUCAAGAUUUUUAUGAAGUUUUCUCAAGAGAAGUGUUAUUCUUGCAGAAGGAACUGGAGCUAGGAUUAUUUUACUCACAGUGUCAGUGAUUCAUUGCUCAU